UAGUACGAUUGUCCACUCGUUUUACAUUUGUGUGUAUGGAUGUGGUGAUAACCCUUUUGUGCUUAUCUAUAGGUAGUUAGGUAUGUACCUAUGUACUCAUAAAUGUACCGACCAAACACAAAACGUAUUGAUGUAUACAUUCAGUUAAAAAGUUGCCAGCUAGUCGUUAUUAAGUACAUACUUAGUAUUUUUAUUCAAAAAAAAACCAAACGAGUUGACGAAAAUCGGUAUUCAACUGAAUACGAUGUCCAAGUUUUUGACAGUAGCUGUAAUGGCGGUUUGUAUGCUGAGCUGCUUGCUUUUGGAGUUUUUGGAGCAAGUUAGCGCCGCUCCGAAUGAGAUACCGCACAGACGAGUAGGUCAAUAACGAAAUUUUGGCAAUAGCACUCCUGAUUCAUACCUAUUAUGCUUUAUUACUAUUUAAUGCAGUUAAAACGUUGAGUUUCGAGCACGAACAGGAAAUCAAACUCUGAAGAUGGACACACGCACGAAGAAAAAAAAAUGUAUCUAUCUCAGUACCUAAGUAGUAGAAAUUCAAAUAAAUAAUUUUCAUUCUUUUUAUUAAAAAAAUAUAUAGGUACGUUACACACAAUAAGUGCCUUUACGUACCUACUUAUCUGUAUUUAUACACAAUACUACAUACUUAAUCAUAACAUAAUAUUAUGCAAAAUGUGCCUCUUUGGCAAAUUAUAUGAAUCAGAAUAAAUCAUUGCCUACUCGUAUUAA
This is a long non-coding RNA of Planococcus citri (citrus mealybug), 726 nucleotides long. RefSeq lists it as uncharacterized. The record is from RefSeq and is a predicted model, not a curated record. The transcript is spliced from 2 exons. NCBI's taxonomy places the organism in Eukaryota, Metazoa, Arthropoda, Insecta, Hemiptera, Pseudococcidae.